UGAUCGUCGAAUGUAACACGUGUAUUUGAUAUGUAAAGCCACGGAUUAUAUAUUUAUGGACGUUCAAUGAAUAUGUUUACUGCUGCAAUUGUAGGAUAGCUGACGGGACGUUUCAGAAAAUUUUGAAUACAGCAGACCUUAUUUUUUCCUCGUAAAUCUUUGCACCUGGCACUUGUGGUAAAAUGAACAUGCAUGCCGUAGUUUUCAUCCUGUGCAUUGUCUGUACAUCCAACUUCUUUGAUGUUCUACAGGCUAAACCCGUAGAACCGAAACUGCCGAUACAACAGAUUGACAGCAUGCCUGUGGCGUUCAGUUACGCCGCAUCUGACUUCUGUAUCGAGAAACAAUUAUCUGGAGCCGGGGACUUCUGUGUUGAAUUUGAGGCGGAAUGCCACGAGUUCUGUAAAAAAUAACAAGGUUCCAUAGACUAUCAGUGAACACAACAAAAAAUAACAGCGUUCCAUAGACUAUCAGAGAUGCCAUGUCUAUAAGUGUGAUUUAAAUACUGUUAAGAACAAAAACGUAACACAUAUUCAUUUGAUGGUUCAAAUAAAGGAAGUUAUUAUUGAUUUUUA
Molecule: long non-coding RNA, 575 nt
Organism: Magallana angulata
Lineage: Eukaryota; Metazoa; Mollusca; Bivalvia; Ostreida; Ostreidae
Exons: 3
Source: RefSeq, a predicted model, not a curated record